AGGGAAUCGGAAAGAGUGUAC
RNAcentral lists this microRNA (21 nucleotides) under Physcomitrium patens. Its description in RNAcentral is "ppt-miR1023c-3p". The record is from miRBase by way of RNAcentral. Lineage: Eukaryota; Viridiplantae; Streptophyta; Bryopsida; Funariales; Funariaceae.